UCAAGUGACCUAUCUACGGUGGGGGCUGA
This 29-nucleotide non-coding RNA is filed under the name Homo sapiens (human). Lineage: Eukaryota; Metazoa; Chordata; Mammalia; Primates; Hominidae. The record is from RNAcentral.